Molecule: ribosomal RNA, 301 nt
Filed under: uncultured bacterium
Lineage: Bacteria
Description: partial 16S ribosomal RNA
Rfam family: Bacterial small subunit ribosomal RNA
Source: RNAcentral
CAGCCGCCGCGGUAAUACAGAGGCCUCCAGCGUUGUUCGGAUUCAUUGGGCGUAAAGGGAGCGUAGGCGGUCGGGUAAGUCGGGCGUGAAAUCCUGGGGCUCAACCUCAGAACUGCGUCCGAUACUGCUUGGCUAGAGGUAUGGAGGGGAGAUUGGAAUUCACGGUGUAGCAGUGAAAUGCGUAGAUAUCGUGAGGAAGACCAGUGGCGAAGGCGGAUCUCUGGACAUUACCUGACGCUGAUGCUCGAAGGCCAGGGGAGCAAACGGGAUUAGAUACCCGAGUAGUCCCUGUCUCUUAUAC